Molecule: non-coding RNA, 23 nt
Filed under: Arabidopsis thaliana (thale cress)
Lineage: Eukaryota; Viridiplantae; Streptophyta; Magnoliopsida; Brassicales; Brassicaceae
Source: RNAcentral
CGAAUAUGUUCGGAUAUUUGAUC